Molecule: long non-coding RNA, 525 nt
Organism: Aegilops tauschii subsp. strangulata
Lineage: Eukaryota; Viridiplantae; Streptophyta; Magnoliopsida; Poales; Poaceae
Source: RefSeq, a predicted model, not a curated record
UCCUAAAUACUUGUCUUUCUAGGCAUUUCAACAUAUCGACCACUCUUUUAUUGUCGCAACAUGCAUAUACACACGACUAAAUCCCUGAACCUCAUGCAGAAACUAUGUGCUACAACUUGGUAACCAACGGCAUUGUUUUCCUUCAUUUUUAUUUACUCAUCGACAACUUCACAGCAAGUUUAUGAAGAAAUGCAUAUUUCUGUGUACUAUCUCUGCUUGAACCUCCGUCAGAGCUCAGAAGACAGGUUCUAUGCCACUGAGAGGUAUUGUGCCUAUGCAAUGUGCUUAUUAGAAUUCCUUGUCCUGGCAGGUGAUAAACCGUAAGCCUUAUGAUCACAAGGCAACUUUAUGAAGGUCCUGCACAAAAAUCUAACACCAUUGCAAGUUGCACUGUCAAUAAGACAUAGGGACUUCGCUUGGUCAUCCCCUCGAGCGUUCAUCCGAGAUUGUCUAAAUUGAUUCAACGGCAUUGGGGCAAAAACCUACAUAUGCGCCCGUUUUCUCCAAGAUCACUGGGGAACUGGA